CACCGGGGUGUUUGGAACACAACACUAGAGAGGUGACACUGGUGUCUUUGGAACACAGCACUAAAGAGGUGACACUGGGGUAUUUGGGACACAACACUAGAGAGGUGACACUGGUGUCUUUGGAACACAACACUAGAGAGGUGACACUGGUGUCUUUGGAACACAGCACUAAAGAGGUGACACCGGGGUGUUUGGAACACAACACUAGAGAGGUGACACUGGUGUCUUUGGAACACAACACUAGAGAGGUAAUACUAGUGCCUUUGGAACACAGCACUAAAGAGGUGACACUGGUGUCUUUGGAACACAACACUAGAGAGGUGACACUGGUGUCUUUGGAACACAGCACUAAAGAGGUGACACCGGGGUGUUUGGAACACAACACUAGAGAGGUGA
This is a long non-coding RNA of Haliotis rubra (blacklip abalone), 396 nucleotides long. RefSeq lists it as uncharacterized. The transcript is spliced from 3 exons. The record is from RefSeq and is a predicted model, not a curated record. Lineage: Eukaryota; Metazoa; Mollusca; Gastropoda; Lepetellida; Haliotidae.